GACGAACGCUGGCGGCGUGCUUAACACAUGCAAGUCGAGCGGUAAGGCCUUUCGGGGUACACGAGCGGCGAACGGGUGAGUAACACGUGGGUGAUCUGCCCUGCACUUCGGGAUAAGCCUGGGAAACUGGGUCUAAUACCGGAUAUGACCUCCUAUCGCAUGGUGGGGGGGGGAAAGAUUUAUCGGUGCAGGAUGGGCCCGCGGCCUAUCAGCUUGUUGGUGGGGUAAUGGCCUACCAAGGCGACGACGGGUAGCCGACCUGAGAGGGUGACCGGCCACACUGGGACUGAGACACGGCCCAGACUCCUACGGGAGGCAGCAGUGGGGAAUAUUGCACAAUGGGCGAAAGCCUGAUGCAGCGACGCCGCGUGAGGGAUGACGGCCUUCGGGUUGUAAACCUCUUUCAGCAGGGACGAAGCGCAAGUGACGGUACCUGCAGAAGAAGCACCGGCUAACUACGUG
Molecule: ribosomal RNA, 462 nt
Filed under: uncultured bacterium
Lineage: Bacteria
Description: partial 16S ribosomal RNA
Rfam family: Bacterial small subunit ribosomal RNA
Source: RNAcentral